This 466-nucleotide ribosomal RNA is filed under the name uncultured Gammaproteobacteria bacterium. Its description in RNAcentral is "bacterial SSU rRNA". It matches the Rfam family "Bacterial small subunit ribosomal RNA", at positions 526 to 989 of the family's 1533-position model. The record is from RNAcentral. Lineage: Bacteria; Pseudomonadati; Pseudomonadota; Gammaproteobacteria.
GAGAGGGUGCAAGCCUUAAUCGGAAUUACUGGGCGUAAAGCGUACGUAGGCGGUUUUGUCAGUCAGAUGUGAAAGCCCUGGGCUUAACCUGGGAACUGCAUUUGAUACUGCAAGGCUAGAGAUCGGUAGAGGAGAGUGGAAUUUCCGGUGUAGCGGUGAAAUGCGUAGAUAUCGGAAGGAACACCAAUGGCGAAGGCAACUCUCUGGGCCUGAUCUGACGCUGAGGUACGAAAGCGUGGGUAGCGAACAGGAUUAGAUACCCUGGUAGUCCACGCCGUAAACGAUGUCCACUAAGUGUCGGGGAAAGCUGACUUUUCCGGUACCGCAGCUAACGCAUUAAGUUGACCGCCUGGGGAGUACGCGCGCAGCGUUAAAACUCAAAGGAAUUGACGGGGACCCGCACAAGCGGUGGAACAUGUUGUUUAAUUCGAUGCAACGCGAAGAACCUUACCAGGCCUUGACAUCC